RNAcentral lists this ribosomal RNA (372 nucleotides) under uncultured bacterium. Its description in RNAcentral is "bacterial SSU rRNA". It matches the Rfam family "Bacterial small subunit ribosomal RNA", at positions 524 to 898 of the family's 1533-position model. The record is from RNAcentral.
UACGGAAGGUGCAAGCGUUAAUCGGAAUUACUGGGCGUAAAGCGCACGUAGGCUGCUUUGUAAGUCGGAUGUGAAAGCCCUCGGCCCAACCGGGGAACUGCAUUCGAAACUGCAAGGCUGGAGUCCUGGAGAGGGUGGCGGAAUUCCCGGUGUAGGAGUGAAAUCCGUAGAUAUCGGGAGGAACACCAGUGGCGAAGGCGGCCACCUGGACAGGUACUGACGCUGAGGUGCGAAAGUGUGGGGAGCAAACAGGAUUAGAUACCCUGGUAGUCCACACCGUAAACGAUGGAUGCUAGGUGUCGGGGAGUAUUCUUCGGCGCCGUAGCUAACGCGUUAAGCAUCCCGCCUGGGGAGUACGGUCGCAAGGCUGAA